CUGAGUGAAGGCCCCCUCGCGGGCCUAUCCUCCCACCCUUGUCUCUAUGAUACCCUGUUGCUUCGGCGAGCCCACUGGUCUUCCAGUCGCCGGGGGGCAUCUUGUCCCCGGGCCUGUGCUCGCCGAAGCGCCUAUUGAACCCUGAUGAAGAUGGGCUGUCUGAGUAUAAUGAAAAUUGUCA
Molecule: unclassified non-coding RNA, 181 nt
Filed under: Penicillium sp. YM3II
Lineage: Eukaryota; Fungi; Ascomycota; Eurotiomycetes; Eurotiales; Aspergillaceae
Description: ITS1
Source: RNAcentral